AGCGUGGACUCCCUGGGCACCCUCCCCCCAGCAGCUGUCUGCAGGAGCUGCGAGCUGCUAGCUGCGCUAUCACAAAUGUUAAAAUGUAACUCCUCUUUGCUUUUCCUCAACCAACAGCAGCGCAGCCGAGCAAAGGUGAACUGUGUGGUGUUGAUAAUCUAAUCGGGAGCACAGGGCCUCCCCGGGUGGGUGCCCCAUUCCGAUCCGCUGCCCCUGAGAGGUGGGCCUUGGGAGAGGCAGGGCUUGGACGCCCUUCCUCGGGGCAGCGGGGUGCAGGGAGAGUUCUUCUGGCUGUGAGUCCCGGAGUCCCCGACCCUGGCACCCCUUCAGCAAGGUUCUCAGGCACAUCUGCCGGGGGCGCUGAGGGGACCUGAGAUGGACGGGCCGGGAGGGAGGCUGAGGACGUGGCUGGCCUGGUCUGCCCCCAGCUGAGCCUCACCUGAGGGAGAGCUGGGGUGGGCCGCCUCGUUUACGACCGUGUAGUCGUCUUUUGCACACAAAGCCAUGUGAGUCCGUACGUGAGUCCUGUGGAAAGACAAGACAUGGAAUAGGAGUGACGUCCGUCCCCAGGCAUGAAGUGGAGAGCAUCACGCUGUGUGAGUUAAACACUGGCCAAGCACGGUGUGAGUCGGAGCCGGGGACCUGGCCAGAUGAGGGCUGCGUGCAGCUUUCACACCCCAGGCACGUGAGCACCGCCAAGCCCAGCCUCAGCCAGCAGCUGCUCUGCAAUGUGGAGUCACCAGUGGCCCCAAGGAUGGCAGGUGGGGGUGGCCUUGGGACUGAAUUAGGCCGACACCCAAGGCCUCUGUUCCUUCCCGUCCCUUCUCUCCCUUCGGAGGAUCAAAUGAGAGUUUCUAGGAAAGAAAACAUGGCCAGGCCCUCCUCCAGCGCCCAGGCAGGGCUCGAGCGGACGCCCGUGUGACCCCCACAUCCCUUCUACCCCUGUAGCUCUCUGACUCUGAUAUCCCAGUGGGAGGAACGAGGAGGGGACGGGUGAGGAGGAGGAAGAGGAGGAGACAUGAGGGUUAGGAGGAGCACAUCCUGAGUUUGUGAGGCUUCACUGACCUCUGGCCUCACAAACACACACAGGCCUGAGCUCCGGAUAUUUCUCCUGUUCUGGAGACAGUGAGAAGUGAAAGAGAAAUGGCUGCCCCUGCACCACUUACCGCGAAGGAGGCUCAAGGCUGGGGGGCCCCUCUGCCUUCCAGUGACCGCCCGUGUCACAUCCUGACCCGCUCAGCAGGAGAACACAGCAGGUCCCUCCGACCGCAGUCGGCCUCUCCAGCCUGCCAUGCCUCUGGCCAUGAGGCGACCCGCUGGAGUGAUGGAUUCCCGUCACUACCACCCACAGGGCGAGGGGGUGCAUUGGUCUGCUUGGGCCGCUGUAACAAAAUGCCACAGCCUGGAUGAGUGACUGACAUUGCUUCCCCACCGUUCUGGAGGCUGGAGGCCCGAGAUCGAGGUCCCUGACACUAUUUCAGUGAUGCCAGAGCCCAGGAGGAGUCGACCAAGCCCCAGCGUGGCCAUAAGCACCUUCGCAGGACCACGGAGUCGCUGCAGGUGUUCAGCCCUGUUGAGAGUGGGAGUCGGUGUCGAUGGUCACAGCUCAGUAACUCAUCGUCACCAGCGAGUACCACAGAGCAGACACAACUGCACUUCUCUGUAGAGCCUCCAGUCGAUACUGAGAGCCACUGGGGCGUCUGACACCCAAGGGUGCAGACAUUCACUCCAAGUCCAGAGACCGCGCCCUUUCUAAGGCCCUGUCUCACAGUCGCCCCGUGCUCAUUGUGCCGGAUGUUUCCACAGCCACAGAGACGGUGCGUGAAGGUGAGGUGCAGCCUAGUGCAUAUGACUGACAGAAACGUGAAGCCACAGUGGACGCCUGGAUGAGACACAGAUCACCUUCCAAAUCUGAGUGUGGCCUUGGGACCAACCAGGCAGCCAGGGAGAAGGCAGAGACCAGAGGGAACCCAGUGGCUGCAGGCUCCAGGCGCCACUUUCCUUGAGUCUAUGUUCUUUCCAAGCAUCCUGCAGCUCCAGAAGCUCUGGAGCCGCCAGCACUGAGAGAAGCGAUGGAGCUGCAUGCAGGGUGAGUGUAGGACCGGGCGGAGCUGCUCUGUGGCUGGCGGGCACAUUCUUUGUCAACAUGAGCAUCUCUCACUGUUCCUAGACCCCCUGGCUCCCCAGCUUCCUUGGAGCCAGGCGUGGCCACAGGAAAAUGUUUAGGUCAAUGACAGGAAACUUUGUUGACAGCGGUGUCUGGAUGGACCAGCAGAGGGCACUCUCACCCACGGGGAAAAUCGUGCGCCCGGCCUCGUCCACCGCCAGAAGACGCCGCUACACAAUGGAGUCUCGCUCUGUCGACCAGGCUGGAGUGCAAUGGUGCGAUCUCGGCUCACUGCAAUCUCUGCCUCCCGGUGAGAGGUGAAGCCAGCUGGACUUCCUGGGUCUAGUGGGGACUUGGAGAACUUUUCUGUCUAGCUAAAGAUUUGUAAAUGCACCAAUCAGUGCUGUGUCUAGCUAAAGUUUGUAAACGUACCAAUCAGCACUCUGUAAAAAUGGGCCAAUCAGCACUCUGUAAAAUGGACCAAUCAGCACUCUGUAAAAUGGACCAGUCAGCAGGAUGUGGGCGGGGUCAAAUAAAGGAAUAAAAAGCUGGUAGCCGAGCCGGCAGUGGCAAACCGUUUGGGUCCUUCUCGGUACCCUGGUGGCUUUGUUGUUUUGCUCUUUGCAAUAGAUCUUGUUGCCGCUUGCUCUUUGGGGCCUCACUGCCUUUAUGAGCUAUAACACUCCCCGCAGAGGUCUGCAGCUUCAUUCUUGAAGCCAGCGAGACCACGAACCCACUGGGAGGAACCAACAACUCCAAACGCGCCACCUGUAAGAGCUGUAACACUCCCUGUGAAGGUCUGUGGCUUCACUCCUGAAGUCAGCGAGACCAGGAACCCACCGGAAGGAACUCCGGACACAAAGAACUGCAACACUCACCCGAGGGUCUGUGGCUUCAUUCUUGAAGUCAGUGAGAUUAAGAACCCACCGGAAGGAACCAGUUCCGGACGUGCCGAGUUCAAGCAAUUGUCCUGCCUCAGUCUCCGGAGUAACUGGGAUUACAGGUGCACGCUGCCAUGCCCAGCUAAUUUGUAUUUUAGUAGAGUCGAGGUUUCACCGCGUUGCCCAGGCUGGUCUCGAAUUCCUGAGCUUGGGCAACCCACUCACCUCGGCCUCCCAAAGUGCUAGGAUUACAGGCGUGAGCCACCAGGCCGGGCCCGUAUGGUGGUUUCUACUCCGGACUGACUCUCCCGGGUCUUGGUCACUCUGCAGAAUCCUGGACCGGAAGGGGGCCUCGGCCAGGGGAGGGCUUGCGAGGAGCCCCGGACCUACUGGCCAUUAUAGGGUGACGGGAAGUUCCUUGCAUCCCGGGAUCCCAUGGCACUUGGUCAGGGAAGCCUCCCCAGAGAGGCCCAACUCCCCAGAUCCAGGUGGGGAAUCAGGGUACCAGCCAGGCAGUGUUCCCACCCCAGCCAUGCUGCUGGCUUCCGUCCCUGUGGUGGGGUCACCCAGGUGGCUCAUGCCUCCACGCACAGCCUUGUGGACACCCCCACACCGCCCAUAGUCAAGUCAGAGCUCACGAGCCCACAGGGCAGAUACCCGCCACGAGGGGACGGUGGGCCAGGAGGGUCCUCUGUGGGCAGCGCCGUGUUCCUGAUCUCCCCAGGCUGCUGGGGGAUGGGGUGGGGCAGAGGAGGCCACCUUCCCAUUUCCCACUUUGCUGGGUCUCCCUCUUUGCUGGACAGUGCUGGGGCAGGUUACACACCCAUGACAGUGUGAGGACUGAGGGUGCGCGUCCUGGAGCCUUCAGGGCUUGGGUGGAGGGGGCAGCUUGUCCCCCUGAGGCCUGGGCCAGAGAUCCCAUUCUGAAUGCGGAGAGCCAAGAUUCUACCUGGAUCCUGGCCUUGUGGGUCACUGUGACGGCCCAGAGCUGACUUUAUGUGACAGUUUGUCCUGAGAUUUAAAACUGAAUAUUUAGACUCGUGGGAUCUGGGCAUCCACUUCAACCAAGGAUGGGGACAGGCAGCAGGGUGGAGGGUGGACGAUGCAGGAAGAUGCUGUAGGACCAAGAACAAGGGGGCUGUGAGGCAAAGGAGCAGCACGAGGAGCCGUGUGUGCCCACUGCCACUUGCAGCCUCAUUUCUCAACCCGACUGUGAUGACUGCCGCUUGCUGGAAAGAUGCUCUGAAGACACAAUGAACUGACAAUGCGUCACCCCGACUCCUGCCUGAGCCACUCCAUUCCUUAAAGACGGUACGUGACUCACGUCCUUGCUGUGUCCUGCACGAGAUAAGGUCUGGCAGGGUUGGUAAUUAUGCCUCUGGGAUCUGUAACCAGACAUUCUCUGUAACCAUUCUGUAUAAUCUGGACGUUCUCUGUAAUCCAGAUGUUCUGUGUAAACUGAAGUUCUCUGUAAUUGGACUUUCUCUAUAACCAGUUGUCCUCUGUAACCUUCUCUAUAAUCCAGAUGUUCUUUGCAACCAGAUAUUCUCUCUAACCAGACAUUCUGUAUAAUCCAGACAUUCUCUGUAACCAGAUGUUUUCUAUAAUCCAGAUUUUUUUUUUUUUUUGAGACAGUUGCACUCUUUUUGCCCAGGCUGGAGUGCAAUGGUGAGAUCUUGGCUCCCUGCAACCUCCACCUCCCAGGUUCAAGCGAUUCUCCUGCUUCAACCUCCCUAGUAGCUGAGAUUACAGGCAUGCACCACCAUGCUUAGCUAAUUUUGUAUUUUUAGUAGAGACGGGGUUUCUUCAUGUUGGUCAGACUGCUCUCAAACUCCUGACCUCAGGUGAUCCGCCCACCUCGGCCUCCCAAAGUGCUGGGAUGACAGACGUGAGCCACCGCACCCGGCCCUGGAUGUUCUUUUUAAUCCAGAUAUUCUCUGUAAUCCAGACGUUCUCUACAACCAGACAUUCUCUGUAAUCGGACAUUCAGUACAAUCCAGGCUUUCUCCGUAACCAGACGUUCUCUAUAAUCCAGACGUUCUCUGUAACCCACACGCAGCUCCGUGUGACUCUGCUCUUCCGUGACUUCUGCGUCUAUAAUCCAGACGUUCUCUGUAACCCACGUGCAGCUCCGUGUGACCCUGCUCUUCCGUGACUUCUGCGUCUAUAAUCCAGACGUUCUCUGUAACCCACUGCAGCUCCGUGUGACUCUGCUCUUCCGUGACUUCUGCGUCUAUAAUCCAGACGUUCUCUGUAACCCACUGCAGCUCCGUGUGACUCUGCUCUUCCGUGACUUCUGCAUCUAUAAUCCAGACGUUCUCUGUAACCCACUGCAGCUCCGUGUGACUCUGCUCUUCCGUGACUUCUGCGUCUAUAAUCCAGACGUUCUCUGUAACCCACUGCAGCUCCGUGUGACUCUGCUCUUCCGUGACUUCUGCGUCUAUAAUCCAGACGUUCUCUGUAACCCACUGCAGCUCCGUGUGACUCUGCUCUUCCGUGACUUCUGCGUCUAUAAUCCAGACGUUCUCUGUAACCCACUGCAGCUCCGUGUGACUCUGCUCUUCCGUGACUUCUGUGCACAUUUCGAGCUGCAUCACCAGAGCUGUGCCAGGAGCUGGGACUGUUCCGCAGCAGCCUGACCAUGUGCCUCUGAAAGACCCCUCCCGGGCUGCAGUGCUCAGAAAAACUUCCAAAUAAGAUGAACUUCCCUUAUUUAAAAGCUUGACUCCUUUUUUAGUGGACAGGGCUAUGAGCUGAGGGACACGAGACGUCCAGGACAGGAGGGCCGGCCUUGUCUCAGGCCCUGCUCCCUCACCAAAGGCUCUGUGCUCUGUUCUCCUUCUGAGCCAGCUGUCCUGAAACGGAGGCCCUUUUGUGACCCGACUUGGUCUGUUGGCGGGGGACAGACACCAAGGCCAUGUCUCACACCGGUCAUGGCCAGCCCCCGGCCCUCCUUCCCUCCUCCCCUCCUUCCCUGCUGUAGCCUUUAGGGUUCAGACCCUGGCUGUCCUGUCCUCAUUGGGGCUGAUGCCCUGCCAUGCCCCCCAGGAGCCCCCGUGCUCGGCAGGCUUGGGCUGGGAGGCGCAGUCUCCAGUCUCCAGCAGACACCACCUUACCCAGGUACAUGGCACUUUCCUCAUUAGGGUGACAUUUUCCUCAUCAGUGAGGCUCUCGCCUCCUGAGUUGCACCACCCCUGCGCCAGCGUGGUUGGUCUCCAGAGUCAUACAUGAGCAUGGCGGGCUUGCCUCCAGGAACCAGAGGGUCCUCUGGGGGUUGGGGCACAAGGGGCCGCCCUGACCUCCCCAGACCCUAAUGCGAUUCCCACAGCUCUCGUCCACGAAGCACCAGGCCUCGGCCACGUUUCUAAUCUCGUGAUCCCUCCUGGAAAUCCCAGACAUGACAGAUCCCAACGGGGUGAUGCUUGCAUCACUGAACCAACCCCAGGACACCGGAGAGCUGGCCGUGUGGGGAACCCGUGGAUCCACCUGGGCCCUGGAGCUGGGGAUGUUGGUAGUGUGCGGGGAGGCGGCAAGGCAAGACGGGCAGGAGGAGGCAGCUCUGUCCAGGGCCCAGGCGUCCCUCACGCCGUUUCCAGGCACCCGCAGACUUCAGGAGUCUUAGUCAUCGUUGGGUGUUUGGGGCUCUCUAGUCCCAGUAGGUGCUGGGACUCUCAAACCUCACAGCUACCACCCUGGUGCUAUCGUUACGGACGAUCGCACUUUUGAGAAAAUUGGGCACCGUUGCCAGAGCAGCAGUUAGGCCUCAAGCCAACUAGGCUCCAGAGCGCCUGCCGCCAACCAUCAUACCACAGGGCACGGUCUCGGAUAUUAAACGUCUGGUUGGA
Molecule: long non-coding RNA, 6833 nt
Filed under: Homo sapiens (human)
Lineage: Eukaryota; Metazoa; Chordata; Mammalia; Primates; Hominidae
Description: HSALNT0083151
Source: RNAcentral